RNAcentral lists this ribosomal RNA (253 nucleotides) under uncultured bacterium. Its description in RNAcentral is "partial 16S ribosomal RNA". It matches the Rfam family "Bacterial small subunit ribosomal RNA", at positions 524 to 776 of the family's 1533-position model. The record is from RNAcentral.
UACGAAGGGUGCUAGCGUUGUUCGGAAUUACUGGGCGUAAAGCGCGCGUAGGCGGCUUAUCAAGUCGGGGGUGAAAUCCUGGGGCUCAACCCUAGAAUUGCCUUCGAAACUGAUAAGCUAGAGUGUCGGAGGGGAUAGCGGAAUUGCUAAUGUAGAGGUGAAAUUCGUAGAUAUUAGCAGGAACACCGGUGGCGAAGGCGGCUAUCUGGACGACAACUGACGCUGAGGCGCGAAAGCGUAGGGAUCAAACAGG